Molecule: ribosomal RNA, 427 nt
Filed under: uncultured beta proteobacterium
Lineage: Bacteria; Pseudomonadati; Pseudomonadota; Betaproteobacteria
Description: bacterial SSU rRNA
Rfam family: Bacterial small subunit ribosomal RNA
Source: RNAcentral
UGGGGAAUUUUGGACAAUGGGCGAAAGCCUGAUCCAGCCAUGCCGCGUGAGUGAAGAAGGCCUUCGGGUUGUAAAGCUCUUUUAGUCGGAAAGAAAAGAUCAUAAUGAACAAUUAUGAUUCAUGACGGUACCGACAGAAAAGGCACCGGCUAACUACGUGCCAGCAGCCGCGGUAAUACGCAGGGUGCGAGCGUUAAUCGGAAUUACUGGGCGUAAAGGGUGCGCAGGCGGUUUUGUAAGUCAGAUGUGUAAUCCCCGGGCUUAACCUGGGAAUUGCGUUUGAAACUGCAAGACUAGAGUGCAGCAGAGGGGAGUGGAAUUCCAUGUGUAGCAGUGAAAUGCGUAGAGAUGUGGAAGAACACCGAUGGCGAAGGCAGCUCCCUGGGUUGACACUGACGCUCAUGCACGAAAGCGUGGGGAGCAAACA